This 878-nucleotide ribosomal RNA is filed under the name Chlorella variabilis. RNAcentral's name for it is "eukaryotic LSU rRNA". It matches the Rfam family "Eukaryotic large subunit ribosomal RNA", at positions 49 to 949 of the family's 3401-position model. The record is from RNAcentral. Lineage: Eukaryota; Viridiplantae; Chlorophyta; Trebouxiophyceae; Chlorellales; Chlorellaceae.
AGCGGAGGAAAAGAAACUAACUAGGAUGCCCUUAGUAACGGCGAGCGAACCGGGCAGAGCCCAACUUGAAAAUCUCCAGCCUCCGGCUGGCGAAUUGUAGUCUAUAGAAGUGCUCUCUGCGCCAGUCUGGCCCCAAGUCCCCUGGAAAGGGGCGUCAGAGAGGGUGAGAACCCCGUUGGGACCGGUGCCUGGUGCUCCACGAGACGCUUUCGAAGAGUCGGGUUGUUUGGGAAUGCAGCCCAAAGCAGGUGGUAAAUCCCAUCUAAGGCUAAAUACAGACGGGAGACCGAUAGCGAACAAGUACCGCGAGGGAAAGAUGAAAAGAACUUUGAAAAGAGAGUUAAAAAGUACUUGAAAUUGUUGAGAGGGAAGUGAUUGGAUCCUACGGGUGCGCCCAGGCACACGCCCGCCUAACGGUUGGCUGAAUGCGCUGGGUGCUGGUCAGCAUGGGUUGUCCGGGCGGGACAAACCCGGGGGUUGUUACCCCGGCUAUGUCGCCUGGCCGACCGAGGAAUGAAGGGCGCUCUCUGAGUCCUCCGGGAACUGCGUCCUCAAGAUGCUGGCGGAAAGGUUCUAAUCAGCCCGUCUUGAAACACGGACCAAGGAGUCUAACAUGCAUGCGAGCUGGUGGGUGGUAAACCCAUGAAGCGCAAGUAACCUGACUGGUGGGAUGGCCUGUGCCUGCACCAUCGACCCCGCUUGAGGUUUUCCGAAGGCUGGGAGUACGAGCAUGCCUGUUGGGACCCGAAAGAUGGUGAACUAUGCCUGAGCAGGGCGAAGCCAGAGGAAACUCUGGUGGAGGCUCGUAGAUGUGCUGACGUGCAAAUCGCUUUUCGGACUUGGGUAUAGGGGCGAAAGACUAAUCGAACCUUCUAGUA